AAUAGAAACAAUAUUGAAUUAUAAAUGUACCUUCGGCUUGGAAGGAAAUGAAAAUACAAGUGUGACGCAAAAGCAAAUGCCAAGUCCGCGUGAACAGUACGGGGGUACUGUUCACCUAUUUAUAGGCACGGGGUACAACCCAUACAAAAUUACAUACAUGCCCUUUACAUUUGGUGAUAAUUCUAUAGCAUUCUAUCGAGGUCUAAAUGGCCUUUUCAUCUUUAAGUCGGUUCCCCUUUCUGCGAACAUGCCGAAGCUUUCCUGCUUCACAGCUUCGGCACUGUGUCAACCUUCGUAUCUUUUGAGCUUCUCCCUUUCUGAUUCAAGUCCGAAGAUACCUGUUUACACAUUAUACUCCAGAAACAUUGUUAAAUCAUGUUUUUGAGGACCUUCGGAAGCCGAAGGCCCCCAACAGUAGCCCCUCGCAAUAUUAAUUUGUUUGAAAUAAUAAAUUCAGAUUGCGAUAUGAACGAAGGCUUUAUGCCGAAGGUCCGAAAAAACACCUUCCCUUUGCUAGAAUAGCAACAUUCAAUGACAAGUGGGGUCUUUCAACUUUCAACGCAUCAAGCGUAUAAAUACGGCCACACCGCAAACUUAUUUUGCACGCUUUCUGGCCAACCACUCCUGCUCACUCAUUUUUUAGCUCUUGUGCACUGUGAUCUGCUAAGUUUUUAGCUUUGAAGCUUCGGCUUUUAGAAACAGUUUUUUAGUGCUUCCGAAGAUGUCUGAAGCUGCUAAGAAGGCUGCUGCUGAGAUGAAGCUGAGUCUUGAUGAAGAGAAGAACCUAGGGUUUCUUAUAGCGAUGUCGAAGUCCAACACAGAAAAGAUUACCAAGGAAAUUCUGGAGGGGCUGUCUGAAGAUACUGGUGACAGUGAAAGUUAUGAUAUGGACAGCGGUGGCGAAGACUCCGAAGAUCGCCCCUGGCGACCAAGCCAUUCAGUUUAUGGUAAAUCAACUAUCAAAGAGAAUCAUCUUGUUAAUAUGAGAGGAAGGUAUUUCCGGGAUCUGUCCAUUGUGAGGGCGGACGAAGGGGAAAAAACUUGUCCACACCCUGAAGAAAAUGAAGUUGUGGUGUACCGAAGCUUUUUGAAAGCUGGAUUGCGAUUUCCCUUGAGCAGCUUCGUCGUGGAGGUGUUGAAAAUCUUCGAAGUCUAUCUUCAUCAACUUACUCCCGAGGCAAUUAUAAGACUAAAUAUCUUCGUGUGGGCCGCGAGGAGUCAAGGUCUGAAGCCUGACGCAAGAAGCUUUUGUAAUGUUCAUGAAUUAUUAUAUGAAACAAAGCCUUGGGGCAAAGAACAGUACCAUAACAACUUUGGCUGCUACAGCUUCGUUUCUCGGUCCGGGGCAAGCUGUCCCGUACCGACCUUUCGGAAGAGAUGGCCCGGGGAUUGGAUGACAGAAUGGUUUUAUGUGAAGAAUGACUUAUCAGCACGAGAAGACAUCAAAGGUAUAAUUAUGCGUCCUAUUUGGCAAAGCUUCGGCCUUCGGAGGCCGAAGGUUGAAAUGAACGAAGCCGCCGAAAAGUGCCAAAGAGCCUUCGGCGUUGUCUGCUCUUUUAUAGGAACAAGGGACUUAGUACAAGAACAUAUCGCCUUCAGGGUGUGGCCGCUUGCUGAGAAAUGGGAAAUGCCACAAGAAACCAUAAAAGAGGCCGACGAAGGUGAGCUUGUGAGACUGAAGUACACCUUCAAAUUUGGAGAUAAAUUUAUUGAGCCAGAUGAUGAGUGGUUGAAAAGCAUUGACAAUUUAAGUGAUGAGCUACUCGGGACCUACUCGAAGGCUGAAGAUAACGCAAUGUCAGCAGCCUUCGGAGGCCGAAAAAAGAAGAGACUGAAUCGGGUAUUUGAUGCCAUUGGGUUUGUCUACCCUGAUUACUGCUAUCCCAUUCGAAGGCAGAAGAGAAAAAACACAAUCUCUGCAAAAGAAGAAGCUGCAGCUGCUCCUAGCGAGCCAGAACCGAAAAGGAAAAAGAUAAAGAUUCUUACGCAACGGCCGCGUUAUAUUGAACCAGCUUCGGUGCCGGAGUUUACCGGGAAAAUUCCUUCAGCCACCGAAGCUGAAAAACUAAUCGAGCCAGCCUUGUUGCCAGAGAUCGCAGAAACGGCCGAAGUGCCACCAAAGAAAGAAUCAGAACAAUCAAACAUUUUGUUGUCAGAAACAAAAGAGAAAACCGAAGCGCCGCUCACAGAAAAAAUUGAGGAGGUAAGAGGAGCAACUGAGGGCUCCAAAACAUCAGAAGUUUUGAGUCCUACAGCAAUCAUUGGGACAGCAAAAAACCAAAAGGGGCCAUCAGUGACCCCAAAAAGGAGAAGAAUGGUAAAUGUACUAGACGUCUUGGAGACAAUUAAGUCUUCAAGCACAAUUCCAAAAAAGAGUGUUGAAGUUGCUGAAGCUUCUACUGAAGCUUCGGCUCAACAAGCUGAAGCUGAAGCUGGACCUUCAGAGCCCUUCAAAGAACAUCCUUUUGAAGCCGAAGCAGUAAAAAUUCCGGAACCAAUAUUAGUUGAAGAAACGGACACCGUCAUCCCCGAAGCACCUGCCGGCAUGCAUGAUUACAUCAUACGACAUGCUUCGGGGAAAAAGCUAUCUGAGGAAGAAACUCAUGAGGCCAACCAUUAUGCAAAGGAGCUGAAAUAUCCGAAGGGGGCAGUAAUAUUCAAUGGAACAAAUGAAGAUGACUUCUUAUACUGCCUGCCUGAUAACAAAGAGCUAUCCGUCUGCCGAGAGAUGGCGAGAAGCAUAGGCUUUCCGAAGCUUGAAGCUGGGUUAAGUGCCAUGACGAAAGAGGAUCUCGCAGACAGCCUCGCGUACAACAGCCUGAAGGUACGGGAAUUAAACACUUGAGAAAAAACCCCCUAUUUUUUUUUUUUUUACGCAACUCAUUCCUUUUUUCUUAUAUGAAUUCUUUUUUCAUAUAGGGCCUGAUCCUAAGCAACGCGUUAAGAGCGCAAAAGAGCGCCGAAGAUGAAAGUUAUGAAAUUGCGUUUAAUAAUUUACGCUCCGAAGUUAUCAAACUGAGAAACGAAGCUUUGGAAAAAGAUAAAAUUCUACUUACACUGGUAGAUAAAGUGAAAAAAGACGAAGCUGCUUCAAAGGCCCAGGCCGAAGCUCAAAAACGCGAGAUUAAAGAUCUUCAGAAACAGCUGGCUAGAGCUAAAGAGGAGCGCGCGCUUGAGGAAACGAAACGAGAACUUAGUGAUUUUAUGGUCAACAAAUUGGAAUCAAAAGUUAAGGAGCUUCGCACAUCUCAGGGGAAAUGCUAUGUCAAAUCUGUAGAAUGUGUGAAGAAAAUUAAAUCCAGCUUCGCCAGCGUAGGCGCCUUUUCCAGCGAAGAGAAUUUCUCUCGAGGCAAUCCCGAAGGUCCGCUGGAAUGGAUUAGCCACGAAGCAGAGGCCUUCGAAGAGAUUCUGAACAGUCGUGGCGACAUAUGUGCUUUUUCGGGCGCCAGAGGAAUUGCUUCCGUCUUAGAGAAGAAAGGUUGCGAACAUGUAAAAUUUUUAGCUCAAUCCGAAGCUACCUUAUCUACCGAAGACAUCAAGGACCCCUCGGCCGAAGCGAGCGUGGUUGGUGGCAAAUUUUUUACUGAUAUCUGGAACGACGGCGGCCGAGGAAUGGCGCGAGAGAUCAUUGAAAGAAGCGAAAAAGGCAUUCACGAUGCUAGAAGAGUAGCAGACGCUGCCGAAAGGAGUAGGGAGCCCGAAGGACAGUUAGGUAUCAACUAGUCGUUCUUGUUGCGUUGUAAUUUUCAUUUUAAACUUUGCUCACGAUUUGUAAAAGUACUGAAGAAGUGUUCUCUUCGCUCAGAAACUGUUGGACGAUCUGCCGACCCCCACACAAAAGGGGAUGAAGAAAUUAAUCAAAUGGCCGAAACUAUCAUGGACAAGGUUGUUGACCAACUUCUGAAUGAAGCCGCCGAAGCAGUAUUGAGAGAAGAUUAGGUGCUAUUUGGAAAAAACAUUUAAAGUGUAAUCUAUGCGACACUUUGUACAUUUGAAUGUAAUAUACAAGUCUCUUUUCAUUAUUGAAUUCUUUACGAUGCAUGAAACUUUAAAUACAUACCACUUUUGAGCCUUCGGCGAAAAAACACCUUCCCUUCUUUUCAUGCGUCGUGAAGAAGAUAGCCUUCGUCAAAAUUAUUCUGAUGAAUGACAUCGAUGCCUCGUGAAAACAUUUUCCGAAGCUAUUUUCCGAAGCUAUGCAACUUUGAUAUUGAUCUGAUAAAGUUCGCCCAUGUUUCGUGAAAAUAUUCCCCGAAACUGUAUUCCGAAGCUAUACAAUUUCAAUGUCACUUUUUCAAAGCAUCCCUUCGAAGGUUGAGAGUGUCCCCUUCUUUUGCCAAAUGCGAUAUGAUGUAUGAUGCUUAUGCUAUGCAAAAUGAUGUGAUGAUGUUAUGUUAUGCAUGUGACGUUUGUUCCGAAGAUACACAUAAAAUAUAUUCGUAAGCUCUGCAUUCCCUUAGGAACGUCUUUGGAGCUUCUUCGUCUUUUACUUAGACGGCAUCAGCGUUGACUUUUCGCUGUAAGCCUCCCUUAGGAGCUUCUUCGUCUUUUACUUAGACGGUAUCAGCGUUGACUUUUCGCUGUAGGCUCUGCAUUCCUUUAGGAACGACUUCUGAGCAGAAAACUUACGCUGCGCUCCCUUUGGAACGACUUUUUGUGACUUUAUAAACUUACUCUGCGUUCCUUAGAACGACUUUUUGUUACUCCGAAGGAUUUUUAGUCCGAAGGUCCUUCUUGGUAACGGAAGAAAUUUUAGGCUUCGGCAACUUAGGCCUGUGAAUCAAAUAAAUUUUUCUCGUGGAAACAACGAAAUUAUUACAUGGAAACUAUCAAUGUUUUUUGCUUCACAGAAAAUAAAACUGAAUAGAAAAAACUGCUAUGAAAGGUAGGAUAUGUCAAUAAAUGUGCUUCGACUCUGGCACAGUGCUGUUGACUGUGCGAGCUUCGGACUGUUCUCUGAAGUCCCUCUGCUGUGGAGCGUAUUGACUCCCUUCUGGCUGUUGACCUUGCUGCAAUGGAGGUGGAGGCGGAAGCUGCUGCCAGGAAGCUUGAGGUUGACUUGCCGAAGCUACAGAAGCCGCAGGGUGGUUGUCUAUGUAUUGUGGGACAUAAGGCGGAUGAAACGAAGCAGUAUACAUAACCUGCUUCGACUGAGCUUGUUGAGAUGCAGCUUCGGCUAGUUCCUUUUGCUUCUGGAUUGUAACAUGGCACGUCCUAGUGGUGUGGCCCUUGCCCUCUCCACAGAAUAGGCAAAACAGUCUCCUUGGCUGAUCUCCGAAUCUUCCGCCGAAGCCCCUGGCGCCUCUGCCUCUUGGAGCUGGUGGCCGAAAGGAAGUUUGUUGUUGCCCCGAAGCCUGUGAGGAGCACUGCGGCCUGUUUUGCUGACUCCCCUUAUCAUCAUUCUGAGUGCUGUGAAUGGAACGGACAUGCCUCGGGUAGUAUCUUCCUCCGAAGCCCCUGGUCAUCUCAGAAAAUCUGAAGGCCUCCUCCCUUCUUUGGCGAAAGUCAUUGUCGGCACGAAUGUACUCAUCCAUCUUUUGGAGCAAUUUCUCCAAGGUCUGAGGAGGCUUCCGAGCAAAGUAUUGAGCUGCAGGUCCAGGACGAAGCCCCUUGAUCAUGGCUUCGAUAACGAUUUCAUUGGGCACCGUUGGUGCCUGCGCCCUCAAUCGUAAGAACCUUCGGACAUACGCCUGAAGGUAUUCUUCGUGAUCCUGAAUACACUGGAAGAGGGCUUGAGCUGUAACCGGCUUCGUUUGAAAUCCUUGAAAGCUGGUCAGUAACAUAUCCUUCAGCUUCUGCCAUGAAGUGAUUGUUCCUGGCCGAAGGGAGGAAUACCAGGUCUGAGCAACAUUCCUGACGGCCAUGACGAAAGACUUCGCCAUGACUGCAGCGUUGCCCCCGUACGAAGACACUGUUGCUUCGUAGCUCAUCAAGAAUUGCUUCGGGUCGGAGUGGCCGUCAAACAUGGGGAGCUGGGGUGGCUUAUAGGAUGGAGGCCAAGGAGUAGCCUGCAGCUCAGCAGACAGAGGAGAAGCAUCAUCAAAAACAAAAUUUCCCUGAUGGAAAUUAUCAUACCAGUCGUCUUCGUUGACGAAGCCCUCCUGAUGAAGGUCUUUCUGAUGAGGCCUUCUGUUCUGCUCAUCGUGAGUGAGAUGGCGAACUUCCUCAGAAGCUUCGUCAAUUUGCCUUUGCAACUCAGCUAGGCGGGCCAUCUUCUCCUUCUUCCUCUGCACUUGUUGAUGUAGCAUCUCCAUCUCUCUGAUUUCUUGGUCUAGCUCUUCUUCCUCAAGCGUCGGGCUAACAGCUUUUCUCUUCUGGCUUCUGGCCUCCCGAAGAGAGACGGUCUCCUGGUUGUGGUCCAGCGGUUGUAGUGCUGCAGCCCCAGCCGCUGAAGCUUUCUUCGGCGCCAUAGCGAAGGUCUAUAGCUUCCGAAGGUGUUCACGAAGACUCGAAGUGGAAGUGAGUUCACCGGAGGUGGGCGCCAAUGUUGGUGACUUGUUCUCAAAUGCUUCGAGUUAAGAACAAGGCAACACAGAAAAUGUUAAACAUUAAGAUCCUUCGUCCUUCGAAGCAUUAUUUCCCUUAGGAUAUAACGAUCCCCGGACGAAGGUCAUGAAGGAUUAACCUUCAUCACUAUAAUAUACAUUAGUAAAAGACGAAGCAUAUGAAACAUAAAAGAUAGCGUGAAUAAUCGUAUAACAUUAUUCAUUUAACUUUAUUAACUCAUCAUAAAAGAAUAGAAACAAUAUUGAAUUAUAAAUGUACCUUCGGCUUGGAAGGAAAUGAAAAUACAAGUGUGACGCAAAAGCAAAUGCCAAGUCCGCGUGAACAGUACGGGGGUACUGUUCACCUAUUUAUAGGCACGGGGUACAACCCAUACAAAAUUACAUACAUGCCCUUUACAUUUGGUGAUAAUUCUAUAGCAUUCUAUCGAGGUCUAAAUGGCCUUUUCAUCUUUAAGUCGGUUCCCCUUUCUGCGAACAUGCCGAAGCUUUCCUGCUUCACAGCUUCGGCACUGUGUCAACCUUCGUAUCUUUUGAGCUUCUCCCUUUCUGAUUCAAG
This 7062-nucleotide long non-coding RNA is filed under the name Zea mays. RNAcentral's name for it is "long non-coding RNA (ZMAY_LNC004918)". Lineage: Eukaryota; Viridiplantae; Streptophyta; Magnoliopsida; Poales; Poaceae. The record is from RNAcentral.